AUACGGAGGGUGCAAGCGUUAUCCGGAAUCAUUGGGUUUAAAGGGUCCGCAGGCGGAUUAAUAAGUCAGUGGUGAAAUCCUCUCGCUCAACGAGAGAACUGCCAUUGAAACUGUUAGUCUUGAAUUCGGUCGAAGUAGGCGGAAUGUGUCAUGUAGCGGUGAAAUGCAUAGAUAUGACACAGAACACCGAUAGCGAAGGCAGCUUACUAGACCUGGAUUGACGCUCAUGGACGAAAGCGUGGGGAGCGAACAGGAUUAGAUACCCCGGUAGUCC
RNAcentral lists this ribosomal RNA (274 nucleotides) under uncultured bacterium. RNAcentral describes it as "partial 16S ribosomal RNA". It matches the Rfam family "Bacterial small subunit ribosomal RNA", at positions 523 to 796 of the family's 1533-position model. The record is from RNAcentral.